GAUGAAGAACGCAGCGAAAUGCGAUAAGUAAUGUGAAUUGCAGAAUUCAGUGAAUCAUCGAAUCUUUGAACGCAUCUUGCGCUCCUUGGUAUUCUGAGGAGCAUGCCUGUUUGAGUGUCAUUAAAUUCUCAACUACACUGACUUUGAAUUGGUGUGGCUUGGAUUUGGGGGGAAAAUUGUUGUGGGCUUUUUGUAUAGUCUGCUCCCCUGAAAUUGAUUAGCGGUUCCUUUGUGGAACUGUCUACAGGUGUGAUAAUUAUCUACAUCUUAGACAUCUGCUGGAAUGCUGCUUUCUAAACCUUACUUGUAUUGACAAUCUUGACCUCAAAUCAGGUAGGACUACCCUCUGAACUUAAGCAUAUCAAUAAGCGGAGGA
Molecule: unclassified non-coding RNA, 376 nt
Filed under: soil metagenome
Description: partial contains 5.8S ribosomal RNA, internal transcribed spacer 2, and large subunit ribosomal RNA
Rfam family: 5.8S ribosomal RNA (bases 1-120)
Source: RNAcentral